Molecule: long non-coding RNA, 306 nt
Filed under: Elaeis guineensis (African oil palm)
Lineage: Eukaryota; Viridiplantae; Streptophyta; Magnoliopsida; Arecales; Arecaceae
Description: long non-coding RNA (EGUI_LNC029298)
Source: RNAcentral
GGUCGGUUCACCUCGCUCUUCUUCUUCCCGUUGGUCCAGCUUGUCGACCAUCAAGGGGCCCUUCAAUUCAUCGCUUUGAGCAGAGAUCUGAAAGCAUCGUCUGGCGAGUUGUUGGUCUCCGCGUAUCUCUCUGACUCCAUUUUUGGUCGGGAACCGAACCAGGAGAUGAUAUGUCGAAACUAUCGCCCUGAGGGCGUUUAGUCCGGGUCUUCCGAGUAUGGCAUUGUAGGCCGAGGGCACUUGGACGACCGCAAAAGUCAAGUGGACUGUGCUCUGUCGUGGUUCGGUUCCGGCCGUCACGGGCAA